Pomacea canaliculata is the source of this 6323-nucleotide long non-coding RNA. RefSeq lists it as uncharacterized. NCBI's taxonomy places the organism in Eukaryota, Metazoa, Mollusca, Gastropoda, Architaenioglossa, Ampullariidae. The transcript has 7 exons. The record is from RefSeq and is a predicted model, not a curated record.
CGCUGGUGCGCAGACGGAGGAGGUAAAACCGGUAGUUGGUGACCCUCCCGCCGAGGUCCUUCAAACAGCCGAGCCCGGGGGUGCAAGAUGGCUCCUGGAACAGCUCCUUGUUGCACAGUUGGAUCUUGAGAAACAGAAGAGAAAUGGAAGAGACUGGAGGAGAGUAAAGACGAUGGAUUGCGAAGAAACGUGAAGUAGAAGAAUGCUGGCAUCAGGGAGACGGUCAGAAAGACACAAACACAGAGACCUACGAGGCCCCCCACAACCCACCUUGAUGGGGGAGUAAAACUGUUGAAGGGUGUUUGUCAGUUUGUCAACCAGCGGCUUGCAUCCAGAGCCUGUCAGCGUCCAGUAGGUUGACUGUGUUGUGAAUCGUCGCAUCCGGGUGUGUGGGGCUUGUAUUUCAUCAUCCACCCCUUUCACACCAACAGUUCUACUCAUCGAGUCUCGGACGCCGAACCACAACAUCAGCAACACAGCCAGCGACUCUGUGGACAGACAUCCUGGAGAUGAGAGUUGAUUGAAUCGCCAAGCUGAUAUACUGAACCAACUGACACCCAGGGUAUCUUUGCCGCCGACAGUGAAACACCUGCUGAUCACUGAUGGAAAUUAAUGAAUAGACAGGCAGGUUCUGCUUCAAGGAGAAUAACUGUCAUAUUGAAAAUUCGAAUAUCAAAAGAAGAAAUCGAAAAGACACUAUGAGAAUAAAGGAGCUGUCCAAAUCCCAAUGUCUCAGAAAUGUCACGUGACACCGGCGUCAACGUCAGACCUCGGUCACUCUCCGUCACAGGUACUGCACGCGCUUGGUGACCUCCAGCAGCCCGCGUGACAGGGUCACGGCCGUUUCGUCAGCCACGUCGUUGUUGUCGUAGGCCAGCCCCAUCCCGCUGGGCAGACAGCUGACCGCAGGGUCGGGCCACGUGCAGUCCGAUGACGUCAGAGCGCCGCUGGUCACGCCUGACUGACACUCGUGCUGCAGGUUGACGUACACGUCCUGCAGGGCGUUCACAGUGCUGUUCAGUAGGGGCUUGCUCAGCUUGUUGCCCUUGCCGCUGUUACGCAGGUUGCGCAGGUAGUAACGGUAAUUCACCAACCGUUUCCCGAGGUCGGACAGACACUCAAACCCAGCGACACAAGAUGGCUCGUCGAAAAGAUCCUUUUGGCAAAGCUUGAUCUGGCAAGGAGAAGAAAAAAAAAAGAUGUUGAUGUCAGUGACAAUGAGGAUGACAAUGAGAACGGGGACAAUGAGACUCAAAUCCAGCUGCGACCAGUUACAGUAAAGUUAACGGUAUGUUAUAGAGAUCCUGGAGGAAAACAAACAACAGAGCGGCUUGCUUCCCGCGGAUGGAAGUGUCCAGAAGCUGGGUGUGCUGGUGAAACGCCGCAGCCGGACCAGCAGCCUCUCGAUCCCGUCAUCCUCCUCUUCCGCGCCAAGAUGGCGGGUGUGGGCGGGGCAGCAACAGAACAAGACGAGAAGCAGGGGAACCAACGUGGCUGCUGGAAAGAUAUGGAGUGGAGAUGGUAAGAAAUUGAUUGAUCUUUCUGUUAUACUCUGGUAUUUACAAACAGCUUAAAGAAAACUGAAAAAAUUGCUUUUAAAAAAAAUUAAGUAAAAUAUUGAGCGACAAUUACAAAGCAUGUUAGGAACGAGAGAAGAUGUUAACAGAUAUUGUUAUAAACUUCAGUUAACCAUUUUUUUCACUUCCAGUCCUAGUCUUUAAACAUUGAUCAAAGCUUACUGAUGUCGCAAAAGUUGUUUGCUCAUAAUAUCACAAUUUAUUAUUCCUUUGACUAGCUGCUUGGGAGACCAAGUUCCAGAAACAAUUAAUUUCGUUUAUUAAUAAUUAAUUGUAGUGUUGUAAAGCCUCAAAUCUGAACUAAUAUCACCGAUGUUGGUUUGCCGACGCAUUACCCUUUAUCACCAAGAAUAAAUUCUCAGACUUCAGAUAUACAUUAUAUCGAUGCUAAAUUCUUUCGCAGUAAAUGUAAACAAUAAUAACUUUGCUCUCAGCCCAAACGCUAGUAUUAAGGUGAGAAUCUGAAAUAACUAUCACUGGUCACAGAGAACUGGAUAAAGCUUACCUGAGAUAUUCAUGUUUUAGUGUGAAGACUUCUGAAUUCCUUGCAGAGUUUAGGCCAAGCGUUCGAAGACAGGUGAAGCUGGUCUUGAACCGAAUUCGCUCUGCUUACCUGUCCUCUCUACCUUUUAUUUAUACCCGUCGCGUGGCCAGUUUCGAUAACUGGACAGAAAGGAAUUAUGAAGGGUUUUUAAAAAUCAGAAAAUGGAAAGUUUCGAAAGAAAACCUUUCUGAUGGCAAGGGUGUUAAAAGCUAAGAUUAGAUUCGUUUAUGAUAAAGAAGCGAGUGAGUGGUUACAGGAAGUAAAAGGCUGGGACAAGGUGCGACUUUCCUGGGUCUGGGUGCGUCGUCGUCACAAGCUCAUCUACCUACCCACCGCCAUGACUUCAAAGGCACUGCCGGAUUUCCGCCACCUUCUCCUCAGUUUAGAGAAGCCCCCAGUUCGUUGGUUUGUCUUUUUGGGGAUUUUGUAAUUAGUUGUGAUGAGCGAGCUGGACAAAAAAAUUACGAUUUGCUUUCUCACUGUUACGUUUUGAUUAUUAGAAAGAGGGUCAGAGCGGGCCACUCCAGUGUGCGCGGAGUGCAUGUCAUCACAAGAAAGGAUCAGAAUGAAUGAGCAGGUGUGUGUGUGUGGACGCGCUAAUGUUUAAAAAAAAAUGUUGGGGGUAAAUGUAGGCCUUCAAAAGUUUUUGUACAUCACCAUAGAAUGUUGUUAUAAAUGUAUACCUGUGUGUCUUUUUGCAGAUGACAUUACUUCAAAAUUAGUUUCAUUAAUUUUUAACCAUUCAGACUUAAUACUCCUAAGGUGUAAAAUAAAGUAUAAGCUAUGACCUUUUAUUUCAAAUAAAAUCAAAGAAUUAUGUUGUCAUCAGCGCGUAAACUAAUUAUAACAAGAUUUAAACAACUUUGCCAUCGUAAGCAGUUCGUGUGUAAAAUAUAUUGACAGGUAAGCCCAUCAGCAACCAUAAAAUGUGGAAGCAAAAGUGGAUGACCACCUGGGAAGGAAAAAAAAGCUAGAAGUGAUCACGUGACCUUCGUGUUGUUGUGAAAUGAGGUUAUAGUGCUCUCGCUUAUCUUGUGUCAGUUUUUUUAAUAAUUCUUUUGUGUGAGGACGAUGUCCAUCUUCUCUCCCUCUCCCGACCUUCCUGAUGUUAGCAGGGAAACUGCUUUAGACACCGUUCCUCGCAGAGGGGGACAGUUUUGCUGAGUAACUUUUCCUUCCUCCAUCCGUCUAUCCUUUCCUCAUUACUUUUCACUGCCCACUCUAGUUUACUUUCUCCCUCCUCUCAUUCCUCACCUCUUGUCUUGAGCAACUCACUGGUCACGUGUUAUGUUUUUUGACUAACAUGUUGACCGUAAUCGGGAACUUUCCUGACUGUCGGAAAUGUCUUCCCCUUUCUUGGCGCGAGCUUGGAGUCGAGUUUGGGAAAUGGAAUCCUUGUGGUGGCUUAGACAGGUAGGGGAUAGGGGACAAGGGGCAGGGGAUAGGGAAGUUUGUAGGCGCUAAUACACAAGUGGAAUGUGUAGACACUCUGUCCGUGUUGGGUCUACUAAAGUCCCCUACUCUGUGUUUACUUCGUCUGGAAAACUCUGGAGUGAUUUGUUCCGAAAUUCCGUGUCUUUGGCCUGCCAGGACAGUCCGUGGUUUUACAAGACACUUCAAGAUUUUAUUUGUGCAAUUUUAGAGAUCAGCUGCAAAAAUUAGAAAGUAAAAUUCCAGAGAAUUAAGUGAUUGUAAUGUUAAUAUGAAAUAAAAUAUAUUAUAAUCUGCGUCCAGAAAGACUACCCCAUAACCCAAUCCAACCUUCCCCCCCCCCCGUUUUUUAUUGUUUGUAUUCAGAAACGAAAGAGAGAAAGGAUGCAAACAUACGAAAUUUUAAUUUCCUUUUCCCAGGCAGUGAUGUCUAUCUGAUCUUGAAAUUUUUAAAAGAAUGCAGGCGAAAUAAAUGGUUUAAAAUAUUUCUAAUGAGUUCUUCAGUAACAACUCAGGUGUAACAUCUCUGAUAUUAAAAUAAAACCUAGACUAUGUUGUGUGCAAGAAACGGUAAUGGGUUUUCUCUGCUCCACCACCACCCACGACCCUCUGCCCUCUAACAGUCUUCUUCCACGAUAAACGCCUCAGCAACUUUAGGAAAUCGUUCCCGAAAAAAACAUGAAGUUUUUGUGAGUUGAACUUGAAACCACUGAGUAAGGUGGACGUGAAUGACAACAAUAACUGUAAGACAGCCGCCACUCAGGCCGUCGAGGACCCGGAAGCAGCGACAGUCAAGCAGGACCUCGGCCCCCGAUGUUGCGAGCGAGGGGCAGGGCAGGGACUACAAACACUUUCCCUGGAAAUCUGGGGUCGAGCUCGUGGUGACGACACCCGCAGGUAACAACCGGCAUUACGAGAAACUGUUUCACUGCUAACGAGGGUCACAACACGUCGUGGCCACACCCUGGUGCACACUGACAGCAACACCUGUGUGAUGAGCUGCGCGAUGUUUGUGGUAAAUCUGACUCUGACCUGACCCUCAACCUCACCCUUACACUGACAGUUAUUUCUAUUCGGGAUAAGUUUGUGAUUUCCGAGGGAAGAAGCCAAACACAGAAUGAAAUGUUAUGCCGGGUUAGAAAUGGCCUGAAGCUGACUCAGUCCUAAUUCGUUCUUAAUUCAAAAGUCGAUGAUCCAUCUGGUUUGGUCUUGAGUGGUAAUGUGUUCCAGAUCUUAAUUUGCCCAAGCCCGGAGAUGAAGGCAUCCAAGAUAAUUGUUCCCAGCAAACAUGGCUGCCCCUCCCUCGUGGUUACUGUCAAAACUAACUUUGUGGCCUUUCUACUUCUAAUAGUGUAGCAUAGUUUAUCCGACAUUCCUCCUCCUUUUCCUUUUCUCUCUUCUUCUUUAUUUUAUAUGAUUAUUAUUAUUAUUAUUAUUGAGAUGAUGCUGCACAGGUAUGUACUAAUUCGUAUCAGUUAGUUCUCUCCUCUUCUGUAUCAAAUGAACCUACAAUAAAUAAAUUAAUUAAUCAAUCAAUCUUUCUUGUCUUCCCAGCUCUCUGUCUUCCUUCUUUUUUCUCAUGUAACUUAGUGCCGUCCACUAAAUGCGCCCAUAGUUAGAGUGGUGAUGGAGACCUCACUGUUGUUGUUGCUGUUGUUUGGUGUCUGCAUUGACCUGAAAUACAUCUCUCGUCUCUCUGGACACGUGACUUUGCUCAACCAGCUGCAGGCAUCGACAGCAAGACAAAGAUUUCCGUAACGCCUGCAACCUCGUAUACGACAUGUCCGCCCCCUGCCUUUCUUUGUGGUUCAGAAUUAUUGUCGAUUGUAGCUGAUCCUCGUGAAUCAUGUUCACACUGAUAGGGAUCACAAACUUUGGACACACCUUAUAGGGUCUUGAUAACUACAUUAGACAAAAUGAAAAGCUGAUCCACGCACACACACGCGCGCACACAAAGAACUAGAAGAUGAUCACUUUUAUUCUGUUUUAUCUAAGAACAAACGCAUGUAUCUUUCUCUAAUUUUUUUUUUCAUUUCUAAUUUUAUUUCAUUGUUUCACACCAAGGCUUCAAAUGUUUUUGUUUUGCAUGAUGUGCGUCACCGCUAUCACUGCCGAUGUCCGUCACCUCUACAGCGGAGCCCUGCACGUUACCUUUGCUGUAGAGUCCGCUGUACGUCACCACAAACACGCAGUCCGAUGCACAGACUAUAAUGGAGGGCUUCUUUUCUACAACAUGUAUAAGAGGUCUCACCAUCGGUGGAGUAAACAACUGACCUGUAUGGAACUGUUCAGUGCCUGGGCGUGCUUUAAAGCUGCUGUAAGCAACGGUUUGCAGUUUGAAUGCUGGUGGUUCCUGUCUUGUCUCGUCCUGUUUACCUGCCCGCUUCUUGGUUUGUUUCGAUUUUGAUUUGCGGGCCUUCCACUCGUCUCUGUAACCGCGAUCAGGAGAAGGAGACCAAAGAUGACAGCUCCACGGCGGACUGAAAACAAUGACAGAGCCAUGAACCAAGCAGUCAACACCAGGCAACAUUACUGAACCAGCACAACCUUCUCUCUAACAUCUUUCGAGUUCAAACCUACUCUGAAAAAACUAACUACUAAGAUUCUAAGAAACCUCUUCGUCAAUUCUGAGCAUCCAAAACUGAUUUGGAAAGUUUUCCCUAAUAUACGAAAAGAAUUAACAAUCUCUCAACAAAAAAAGUUGUGCGAAACCACUCAACCUAUUUCGCAUAGAAAGACAUGAAAUAUUGACUGUCCAUCCACAACAACAA